UCAUUAUUGAAAUCCGAGUUAGAGGGGACUGUCGCUGCACUCGCGUGAUGUGCACGUCCUUUCUUUCUUCUUUCUUCACACCUGUGCACCUACUGUAGGCCCUCGCAAGAGGAUCUAUGUCUUUCAUAUCACACCGAUCGUAUGUCCAUAGAAUGGUACCGAGAUCGACCGUCGACCUUGUAGACUCUACUAGUAUACUAUGGUCGGGAGGCGAUCGACGAAAAAUAUAUACAACUUUCAGCAAUGGAUCUCUUGGCUCUCGCAUCGAUGAAGAACGCAGCGAAUUGCGAUAAGUAAUGUGAAUUGCAGAUUUUCAGUGAAUCAUCGAAUCUUUGAACGCACCUUGCGCUCCUUGGUAUUCCGAGGAGCAUGCCUGUUUGAGUGUCAUCGAAUUCUCAACCAUGUCUUGAUUGACAUCGAGGCAUGGCUUGGACUUGGGGGUUGUUGGCUCCGAAAGAAGUCAGCUCUCCUGAAAUGCAUUAGCAAAAGAUCAGCAAGUCUGGGAUUGCAUGGUAUGGCCUUUCGACGUGAUAACGAUCGUCGUGAGACCAGAAGUGUUCAGACUGGAUGAUGUGAUUUGCUUCCAACGCCAAAGGGACUUGUUACUAGUUGGCCUUAUUUCGAUUUCGAACAAGGCCGGCGAACGCAGGUGGCCUUUUUAUUUUGACUUGACCUCAAAUCAGGUAGGACUACCCGCUGAACUUAAGCAUAUCAAUAAGCGGAGGAAAAGAAACUAACAAGGAUUCCCCUAGUAACUGCGAGUGAAGCGGGAAGAGCUCAAAUUUUGAAUCUGGCGGUCUUUGGCCGU
RNAcentral lists this ribosomal RNA (808 nucleotides) under uncultured Xerocomus. RNAcentral describes it as "eukaryotic LSU rRNA". The stretch from base 233 to 387 matches the Rfam family "5.8S ribosomal RNA". The record is from RNAcentral. Lineage: Eukaryota; Fungi; Basidiomycota; Agaricomycetes; Boletales; Boletaceae.